GGCGCCGUGGCUCAAGCGGUAGAGCGCCAGCCUUGAGCUGAAGAGCGGAGGGACAGUGUGGCUGGUGCUGUGCAGGCCCUGCUGGCGCCA
This 90-nucleotide transfer RNA is filed under the name Dipodomys ordii (Ord's kangaroo rat). It matches the Rfam family "tRNA". Rfam says of the family: Transfer RNA (tRNA) molecules are approximately 80 nucleotides in length. Their secondary structure includes four short double-helical elements and three loops (D, anti-codon, and T loops). Lineage: Eukaryota; Metazoa; Chordata; Mammalia; Rodentia; Heteromyidae. The record is from Rfam by way of RNAcentral.